UACAGAGGGGGCGAGCGUUGUUCGGAAUUACUGGGCGUAAAGGGCGCGUAGGCGGCCCGCUAAGUCGAACGUGAAAUCCCCAGGCUCAACCUGGGAACUGCGUCCGAUACUGGCAGGCUUGAAUCCGGGAGAGGGAUGUGGAAUUCCAGGUGUAGCGGUGAAAUGCGUAGAUAUUGGGAAGAACACCGGUGGCGAAGGCGGCUCACUGGCUCAUUACUGACGCUCAGGCGCGAUAGCGUGGGGAUCAAACAGG
RNAcentral lists this ribosomal RNA (253 nucleotides) under uncultured bacterium. Its description in RNAcentral is "partial 16S ribosomal RNA". It matches the Rfam family "Bacterial small subunit ribosomal RNA", at positions 524 to 776 of the family's 1533-position model. The record is from RNAcentral.